GACGAACGCUGGCAGCGUGCUUAACACAUGCAAGUCGAACGGAAAGGCCUCUUUCGGGGGGUACUCGAGUGGCGAACGGGUGAGUAACACGUGAGUAACCUGCCCUUGACUUUGGGAUAACUUCAGGAAACUGGGGCUAAUACCGGAUAGGAGCUCCUGCUGCAUGGUGGGGGUUGGAAAGUUUCGGCGGUUGGGGAUGGACUCGCGGCUUAUCAGCUUGUUGGUGGGGUAGUGGCUUACCAAGGCUUUGACGGGUAGCCGACCUGAGAGGGUGACCGGCCACAUUGGGACUGAGAUACGGCCCAGACUCCUACGGGAGGCAGCAGUGGGGAAUAUUGCGCAAUGGGUGGAAGCCUGAUGCAGCAACGCCGUGUGCGGGAGGACGGCCUUCGGGUUGUAAACCGCUUUCGCUCAUGACGAAGCUUUGUGUGACGGUAGUGGGUAAAGAGGCACCGGCUAACUACGUG
Molecule: ribosomal RNA, 467 nt
Filed under: uncultured bacterium
Lineage: Bacteria
Description: partial 16S ribosomal RNA
Rfam family: Bacterial small subunit ribosomal RNA
Source: RNAcentral